GUGAGAGUGUGGCAGUGAGACGGCGGGGGAUAAGCUUCGUCGUCGAGAGGGAAACAGCCCAGAACACCAGCUAAGGCCCCUAAGUGUGUGCUCAGUGGGAAAGGAUGUGGGAUUGCCCAGACAACCAGGAGGUUGGCUUAGAAGCAGCCACCCUUGAAAGAGUGCGUAAUAGCUCACUGGUCAAGUGGUCCUGCGCCGACAAUGUAGCGGGGCUUAAGCACACCGCCGAAGCUGUGUCAUUGACACAGGAGAUCCGCGACCUUCCUUGAGGGGGUUGUGUAGUCGUGUUGAUGGGUAGGGGAGCGUCCUGCAUCCAGGGAAGCGGCCGUGUGAACGAGUCGUGGAGGGUGUGGGAGUGAGAAUGCAGGCAUGAGUAGCGAAUGCAGAGUGAGAAACUCUGCCGCCGGAUGACCAAGGGUUCCUGGGCCAGGCUAAUCCGCCCAGGGUAAGUCGGGACCUAAGGCGAGGCCGACAGGCGUAGUCGAUGGACAACGGGUUGAUAUUCCCGUACCCGAGCAUGUGCGCCCAUGACGAGGCGUUUGAUACUAACCACCCGAAGCCGGCGCUGAUGUCUUCGGACGGAGGUGUCGUGUGGAGCGUGGGACCUGAUUUCGUAGUAGUCAAGCGAUGGGGUGACGCAGGAAGGUAGCUCCGCCAGGCGUUGGUUGUCCUGGUGUAAGCGUGUAGGAGAAAGCAUAGGCAAAUCCGUGCUUUAGAUACUCUGAGACGUGAUGCGUAGCCGUUUGAGGUGAAGUAGAGUGAUCCUAUGCUGCCGAGAAAAGCCUCUAGUGAGUGCAUGCACGGCCCGUACCCCAAACCAACACAGGUGGUCAGGUAGAGAAUACUAAGGCGAUCGGGUGAACUGUGGUUAAGGAACUCGGCAAAAUGCCCCCGUAACUUCGGGAGAAGGGGGGCCAAACAUCCUGAAGCUCUUGACGGGCUAGGGGUGGGUGGCCGCAGAGACCAGCGGAAAGCGACUGUUUACUAAAAACACAGGUCCAUGCGAAGUCGCAAGACGAUGUAUAUGGACUGACGCCUGCCCGGUGCUGGAACGUUAAGAGGACCGGUUAACUCCUUUCGGGGGGUGAAGCUGAGAAUUUAAGCGCCAGUAAACGGCGGUGGUAACUAUAACCAUCCUAAGGUAGCGAAAUUCCUUGUCGGGUAAGUUCCGACCUGCACGAAUGGCGUAACGACUUUCCGGCUGUCUCAACCACAGGCCCGGCGAAAUUGCACUACGAGUAAAGAUGCUCGUUACGCGCGGCAGGACGGAAAGACCCCGGGACCUUUACUAUAGUUUGGUAUUGGUUUUCGGUUCGGCUUGUGUAGGAUAGGUGGGAGACUGUGAAGCUGUCACGCUAGUGGUGGUGGAGUCGUUGUUGAAAUACCACUCUGGUCGAAUUGGGAAUCUCAACCUCGGACCAUGAUCUGGUUCAGGGACAGUGCCUGAUGGGUAGUUUAACUGGGGCGGUUGCCUCCUAAAGAGUAACGGAGGCGCCCAAAGGUUCCCUCAGCCUGGUUGGCAAUCAGGUGUUGAGUGCAAGUGCACAAGGGAGCUUGACUGUGAGACAGACAUGUCGAGCAGGGACGAAAGUCGGGACUAGUGAUCCGGCACCACCUGGUGGAAGGGGUGUCGCUCAACGGAUAAAAGGUACCCCGGGGAUAACAGGCUGAUCUUGCCCAAGAGUCCAUAUCGACGGCAUGGUUUGGCACCUCGAUGUCGGCUCGUCGCAUCCUGGGGCCGGAGUAGGUCCCAAGGGUUGGGCUGUUCGCCCAUUAAAGCGGCACGCGAGCUGGGUUUAGAACGUCGUGAGACAGUUCGGUCCCUAUCCGCCGCGCGCGUAGGAUACUUGAGGAAGGCUGUCCCUAGUACGAGAGGACCGGGACGGACGAACCUCUGGUGUGCCAGUUGUCCCGCCAGGGGCAUGGCUGGUUGGCCACGUUCGGAAGGGAUAACCGCUGAAGGCAUCUAAGCGGGAAGCCUGUUCCAAGAUGAGGUAUCCCACCCCGUGUGGGUUAAGGCCCCCAACAGACCAUUGGGUUGAUAGGCCAGAAAUGGAAGCACAGUAAUGUGUUGUCGAGUUGACUGGUACUAAUAGGCCGAGGACUUGCCCAC
Molecule: ribosomal RNA, 2113 nt
Filed under: Amycolatopsis sp. PS_44_ISF1
Lineage: Bacteria; Bacillati; Actinomycetota; Actinomycetes; Pseudonocardiales; Pseudonocardiaceae
Description: partial 23S ribosomal RNA
Rfam family: Bacterial large subunit ribosomal RNA
Source: RNAcentral